Molecule: long non-coding RNA, 213 nt
Filed under: Elaeis guineensis (African oil palm)
Lineage: Eukaryota; Viridiplantae; Streptophyta; Magnoliopsida; Arecales; Arecaceae
Description: long non-coding RNA (EGUI_LNC020065)
Source: RNAcentral
AUGCAAGUCAUGGUCAGGUCUCUUACAUAUUAGCUAACGGUGUGUUUGGUUAUACUUUUUGACUUUUAAUUUUUAAUUUUUAAAAAAUAUAUAUUUUUUAAUUUUUACUAUUAAGUAAAAAUAAAAUCAUAAAAAAUAUGUUUGAUAACUAUAUUACUAUAAAGCAAAAAGUAAUAUUUGGAGACGGCAGAUGAAGAGCUCGACAAAGAAGAA